This 5539-nucleotide small RNA is filed under the name Rattus norvegicus (Norway rat). RNAcentral describes it as "uncharacterized LOC103694180". Lineage: Eukaryota; Metazoa; Chordata; Mammalia; Rodentia; Muridae. The record is from RNAcentral.
UCAAGAGGCUGUGAGGCAGCUCAGCGUCUCCAUUAGAAUUCAGAGUAUUCCACGGUAAUUACAAAACAGCUGUAAUGGAAAAUUGGUAGUCAAACCCAUUUUCCAGCGACUAGAACGGUGAAUGGGCUCCAUUAUGUUCCUAAUUCUCAUUAACUUAAUUUGCAUAGGAAACAAUGAAGGAAUACAUAAUGAAGUACAGUGGGCCAGCAGCCCAGCCCUCACCCCCACAAUGCUGGGUUCAACUUGCACUGACCCACCCCACAGAGAGGGAGAAACCCAGGGCUCCCUGUGGACUGGACCUCCCCCAGGUGACCUGAAGCUGCCCUGAUGGAGCACAAUGGAGGGAUACCACUUGUCUGUAACUUGUUCAGGAUCCCUUUGCCUCAGCACACACCAUGUAAACCCUGAUUCUUCUCCACACCCCUGCUUUGGGGAAGGCUGAAGAACUGGAGCAGAAGGAAAAAGAACUUGUUUUUAGCUCUUCAGGUGCCAUAACUCUGCAUCCCAGAGAGAAAACAAACACCUGCUUGAGAAGCAGUAUUGUUGGUCCCUGUGUAAGAAACAACCAGACGACCCUCCAGAUACAAACACCUUCUCUUCCCUGCAGCCAGCACCACCCUCACAGUUUGGAGCCACAGCCUACCAUGUAUGCAGACAAUAGGAAACAGCAAUGCCUUUGUGCUUCAGGGAGAAGAGGAGAAGGGCAGGAGAGUAAAUGUGGUCGUGACGAAACACAAACCAUGCAAUGCCAUGCACAUCUUUUUCCUGUUGGAUAUCGGGAUGUAUUUGGCUCAAUAUCUAGUGCACGCACAGUAUCAGGCUCACAAAAAUAUGGAGAACUAACUGGAUACCUGAGAAGAGAAGAAGGGAAAGAAGAAGACUGGAGAUGCAAAUGCAUAGAGAACCUGGAGGCAGAAACUAGAGCAGAGGCCAUGGAGGAGCCAUACUACUGACUUACUCCCAGAUUCACACCUCUCAAGACCACCUGCCUAGAGAUAGCACAGCUCACAGUGAGCUGGGCACUCCCCCAUCAAUCAGCAAUCAAGAAAAGACCCUGAAGACAUGUCUACAAGCCAAUCCAAUGGGGGAAAAUUUUCAACUGGGGUUCACACAUCCAAAUGUGACAAGUUGACCACAAGGACCCCAGGCGAAGAGACGGUUUACCUGUAUUCAGAGCGAACCUUCCAAGCGCAGUGAAACCUUUCUGGAGACACCCUCACGGACAAUCACAAAAGUGUCUUUCUUAGUGAUUCCAAAUGUACUAAAGCUGACAAGAAAGAUCAUCCCGUCACACUGGGUUUGCUUCCAGUCUGCUCAGAGAAGGAUUUCCAAGUUUCUCCAGCUGUACUGAGGGGGAAGCUUGGUUCUGGAGCUAAGGAAGUUCAUCAUUUGGUAAAGAUCUUUCUGCAUUGUCACAUGUCGGAAGACAAAUGCCUGAGAGACAGAGAUCACACAAAUCAGUUCUUUUAUCAGGAACCCAUUCUGAGUUUAAUGAGCCUGAGAAUUUUCCUCCAGAGAACGUUUCCCAGAAUAUUACACAGCUUUGGAAACAAAUACCAGCUCCAGUUGUAUGGCCUGAAAACAUCAGUGUGGUCCUAAAGGAAACAAAUCCACCCUAAGGGAGUAUGAUAAGAACCCAACACAACUGUCUUGAGAGGCUUCAUCCAGACGCUGAUGGAAAUAAAUGUAGAGACCCACAGCCAAAACAUUAGACAGAGCAUGAGGAGUCUUGUGGAAGAGUCGGGGACAGGAUUGAGGGAUCCAGAGAGAUCAAGGCUACCACAAGAAGACCUACAGAGUCAACUAAGCUGGGCCCAUGGGGCUUCACAAAGACUGAACCACCAACCAAAAACCAUGUGUUUCUAUGUUUUCAUCAUUAUUUUCAUGAUAAUGCUAGAAGGAAACGUUGUUCUCAUGCCUCUAUAUAUGAAGGCAACCCAAAAGACAUGUGUCAACCUCUACAGCAGCAAGGAAAGGUUGGGAGUGGGAGGCCUCUCAAUACUUUCUGCUUCUCCAAGUGGCCAAACUCACCGGCAGAUCUUGCUGCAGCAAUGACAAGAAAGGUGCUUCCUGGUGAAGUCCUGGAUGAAGCCUAUGGAGAAGGGAAGGCUGCUGAGAACAUCCUGCCACCUCCCACAAUGCACCAAAAAAAGAAGCCUUGGUCUUUAAUGCCAGUCCUAAUUGAGUGGAUGGACCCCAUAGGUGAGCCCCAAAUUGGGAACCAUGGGAGGUUAGAAAUUAAACAGCAGCUUCAGUCUGCAAACUCAGAAACCUUGCAGGCUGGUGGGAGGAGGAGAAGAAACCAGAACUGGUUCUAUGCCCCGAUGCUCUCUGGUGUGGACAUACUGGUGUAGUUACCUGGUGGUGAAAUUUCAGGGCUCUCCAAAGGUAGAGCCACUCCAGCUUCUCACGGGGACUCUUAACAUUUCACAUACUAAACUAUCUCCUUAUACAGAUAGUGAUGAUGCUGAUAUACUGGGUAAAUUAUUUCCAUUUACAUUAAAAUUACACCUGCUUCAUCCAACGGGGAGGAGGACCAACAGGCUCUGGUGAAGUGGAUCAGAGUGAGAAGAAGCUUAACAGAAUUCUGAAAAGGAGCCUGGUUUGACUCUGAAAGUGUUCCGUAGGGAAAGAAGCCUCACCAGAAAUUGGCCAUGUGAAACAGAACUGAGAAUGGAGAAAAUUGCUUCCAGUUCCAGGUAGAGAGACCAAGACAACAUGAUUGGCAAGUGGGAUAUAUGGAAGAGGUCACUAGAGUUCAAGGUCCUUCAUACUCAUGUGAGAGAAAAAGAAAAAGGAAAUGAUGCAAAGAAGAAAUCAAAAGUCCACUGAGUUCAGUCACCCAUAAGAAACAUGAGGUAAGUGACCCAGAGGUUGAGGGGACCUGGGGCUCUAUAACUGAAUGCUGAUCAACCCUCAGGAGAAGAACUGUAGAAAGCAAUGGAGAGGUAGAGAAAGGUAGAAAAGCAGAUAUUUCUGUAGCACUUACCUGUGUAGCACUGACUCUGGGUAGUCUCUAAGUAGAACUGACGGCAUUGCAAACACAAUAAGCAGUUCUAGACAAACUGGAAUAGCAAUCAGUUUGGGAGCCUGGGAGUAGUCACACUUUUGCUGUUGUCAACGCUUUCAGUGGCUUUAAUUUUCAGUGGUAAGCACAACUUCUAUAUAGUGUUGUCAAAAUUGCAAUGAAGUUAUGUCAUUGAAUAUUAAAGGCCCAACCCAUGGAGUGCCAACACAUAGAUUUGAAUUUCAUGCUUGCCCCUAAACAUCAAGAUAAAUAUGUCUAAUUUUAUAAAAACCUGGCCAACCCCAUGGAGGCUGACAAUUACAUCUAUUGUUACCCAAGUAUGCUAGAAUAAAACCUGGCUCUGAUCAAUGUGUGAGAGCAAAAAUUGGAGGGAAGGGGGGAAAGGAAAAAAAACACAAGAAUCAUCAUAGAGGCAGUUCAAAUUGGCUACCUGUGUUUGUAAUCUCCUUGUCAAAUACACUGAUUAAUGGGACAUUUGAUUUCAGAAGGAUGGGGCCUACAUUUAAUGAACAAUUUUGAAAAAUCACACUGAUAGGUUAUGGGGUGAAUAUUGGGAAACUUGAAAAAUAUAAGACUAAAGGAAGGGAUAAAAAAAACAGACCUGUAAGAGCUCCUAUUACAAGCCAGGCACUUGGGCUCCAUCCUGAAGGCAGUAGCAGCCCCAGCAGGAUUCUAAGCACGAGUGAGGUCAUACUUGUUUCUUAGAAAAAUUACUUUGUCUUCAAAGUAAAAAUUGGAUCAAGGCAGUAAAGCUGGAAAUACAUAGAACAGUAAAGGAUCAAAUGUCUCGUGAGUCCCUGAACUGGGGCAACGAUUAAGGAAACAAAACAUGCCCAGCUUUGAGAGGUAAGAGAUCAGUAUGCCUGUCACUGCUUUGAAUGAUAGGGUAAGGAAAAAGGAGUGGUAAGGGAAGUCAAUUAGAUUUCUGGGUGUGACGGGAGUAUAGUCAGUAAGUAACUCAUGAUUCUGAAGUAUUAAUGUACACUAUAUUAAUUCCAGAUUUUCAAUGUACUGUAAGGCAUGUUAAUUAUGAUAAGGGGAGCCUUAGAUGCUCAUCCUAAGUCAAUUGAGUGAAGAGUCCACUCAUCUAAUCAAUGUAUCACUGUGGUGAUCUGAAGCCCUGGGUGAAUGAGUAAGGAGUAGAUGGAGUCCUGCGUGAAUGUGUGCUGUUGGUAUGAUGUCAAGGACCCCAGAUCCAUGGAAAUUGAAGGCCUUCCCCUAGUUAGACUCGGGGAAAGAGCAAAGCCAAUUUCUGGUCUGAAUGAAUGCUAGCAGUGUAUGCAGAAUGCACACUAAUAAAUCCUGGGUUGUGCAGUUGGUACCUCCCAUCAGUGCUAGCACAGCUGACAUGAGCCUCCCUUCUCUACAUGUGUAUGUCAUUUCUUCAGAGUGUUAUGUCUUUACCCCUAAGUCUCCCAUGUCAGGUUUCCAGAAUCAAGCUGUGCAACACAGCACAUGAUGUGAUAGAGAGCUCAAUAGAAAAAGACAGUGACAAAGUCUAAUUUAUAAUUUAGUCCAAUUUGUGAUUUAGACAAAGUCCAAAGUUAGGAAUUGAAUUAGAAGAAGAGCACAGGGAGACCAGAGAAAGACAAGAAAGGUGGUUUGGAAGAAAGAAGGAGAGUGCAUCAAAAGUAGGAUGCUGGAGGUCACAGGGGCAAAGAAACGAAAGCUAAACUACUAGGGAGCUAGAUGUAAAACCCUAACCCAGGGCAGCCCUGUGGUCCUGGGAAGACAGAUGUGGCAUGGGUAGCCUCUUCCUGAGGCUGGGGUAAUUAGCUCUUGACUGAGUCCUAGUAUUUAUGACCUCAUUUCUCCUUUUCUCUUUCUCCAAUUUUCUCAUUUCUCUCAUUCAAGAUGCAAGAUUCUUGCCUCCUUAAUGAAACAUCUCUUGUCCUACAUUACUCUUCUUGGACCUAACUUUCUACCAUACAGAGUUUGAAUCAUGUCCCAUCUAAGCCCGGAAUCACAUGAAUUACCUGUCUGGUUUUCUUCUUCAUGGGUCCAUGUGGCAUAAAUAAAAGAACUGAUAUGGUUUGGAGCCAAUCAGACCUUAAAAUACAAAAUCUCCUAUGGUCCUGAAGCUGCCAUUGCUCCAAACAUCUCACCCCAUCUCACUCUAGCCACACUGUACUCAUCUUGAUCAUUCAAACACACCACACCUCCAGAUCAAUUUGCCGAUGAACCAUGAGUAUGAACAUAUGUCACAAGCAAGAAAAGCCAGCAAAAAGUAUAAUCAACCCCUUGUGUAUGGGCCUAUGAUAGCCUGUGCUCUAGAUUGUAGAUCCCAGAUAGACUACCUUGCCUUAAUCUAUAUACCUAAAUGCAGUGUACUCCAGUUGCUUGGCAAAUUUCCUGGACCUACAACUGAUACUAAGAAUAUAAAAAAUAAAGCUGCAUAGUGUUGAACAACUGACAUCUGGAUAUCUUUUGUUCCUGCCUUGUAUAGCCAUUUCUGAUAAACAUAGAGGCCAGAAGGCUCUGAAACUAGAGAACAAUGAGAAAUCUACAAAU